GGGACCCCAACGUGGGACAAACGAAGAGACAAUAGGCUGAGAGGUCAUGAGGAGAGCUCUACGAGCUCACGAACUCAGUUAUCCCAGACUUCCAAGAAAAGUUCCGGCGUGAGUCACUUUACUGACCGUACCGCAAACCGACACAGGUGGGCAAGGAGAAAAUCCUAAGGCGUUUGAGAGAAGCCUCUCUAAGGAACUCGCAUAAUGACACCGUAACUUCGGGAUAAGGUGUGCCGACGGUGGGUGAUGUGCUUGCGCACAAAGCCGAAGUCGGUUGCAGUGAAACGGGGGUAGCGACUGUUUACCAAAAACACAGCACUCUGCAAACUCGCAAGAGGAAGUAUAGGGUGUGAUGCCUGCCCGGUGCCGGAAGGUUAAGAGGAGGAGUCAGCCGCAAGGCAAAGCCCCGAAUCGAAGCCCCGGUAAACGGCGGCCGUAACAAUAACGGUCCUAAGGUAGCGAAAUUCCUUGUCGGGUAAGUUCCGACCUGCACGAAUGGCAUAACGACUUCCCCACUGUCUCGGAGAGGCCCUCAGCGAAGUAGCACUAGGGGUGAAGAUACCCUUUACCCGCGGCAGGACGGAAAGACCCCGUGAACCUUUACUGUAACUUGGCACUGAUUUUCGGGUUAGCUUGCGUAGGAUAGGUGGGAGGCUAUGAAGCCGGGAUUCCGGUCUCGGCAGAGCCAACCUUGAAAUACCACCCUGGCUAACCUAAAAAUCUAACUCGCUUCCGUAAUCCGGAAGGAGGACAAUGCCUGGUGGGCAGUUUGACUGGGGCGGUCGCCUCCCAAAAAGUAACGGAGGCGCGCGAAGGUUCCCUCAGCCUGAUUGGAAACCAGGCGCAGAGUGUAAUGGCAUAAGGGAGCUUGACUGCGAGACAAACAAGUCGAGCAGGUGCGAAAGCAGGUCAUAGUGAUCCGGUGGUCCUGUAUGGAAAGGCCAUCGCUCAACGGAUAAAAGGUACUCCGGGGAUAACAGGCUUAUCACGCCCAAGAGUUCACAUCGACGGCGUGGUUUGGCACCUCGAUGUCGGCUCGUCGCAUCCUGAGGCUGAAGUAGGUCCCAAGGGUUCGGCUGUUCGCCGAUUAAAGCGGUACGCGAGCUGGGUUCAAAACGUCGUGAGACAGUUUGGUCCCUAUCCGCCGUGGGCGCAGGAGACUUGAGAGGAGCUAACCUUAGUACGAGAGGACCGGGUUGGACUGACCUCUAGUGUUCCGGUUGUGGCACCAGCCGCAUCGCCGGGUAGCUACGUCGGGAAUGGAUAACCGCUGAAAGCAUCUAAGCGGGAAGCCAACCUCAAGAUUAGGUCUCCCAGGUCGUAAGACCCUAAAGGCCCCUCGUAGACCACGAGGCAAUAGGCUGGGUGUGGAAGCGCAGUAAUGCGUGAAGCUGACCAGUAUUAAUCGGCCGUGCGGCUUGACC
This 1424-nucleotide ribosomal RNA is filed under the name metagenome. RNAcentral describes it as "bacterial LSU rRNA". It matches the Rfam family "Bacterial large subunit ribosomal RNA", at positions 1513 to 2925 of the family's 2925-position model. The record is from RNAcentral.